CCGGCAGCUCGAGUGAUGGCCAAUAUUAUUGGGCCUAAAGCGUCCGUAGCUGGCCGAACAGGUCUGUCGGGAAAUCCGCUCGCUCAACGAGCGGACGUCCGGCGGAAACCAGUCGGCUUGGGACCGGAAGACCCGAGGGGUACGUCCGGGGUAGGAGUGAAAUCCUGUAAUCCUGGACGGACCACCGGUGGCGAAAGCGCCUCGGGAGGACGGAUCCGACAGUGAGGGACGAAAGCUUGGGUCACGAACCGGAUUAGAUACCCGGGUAGUCCAAGCUGUAAACGAUGCUCGCUAGGUGUGGCACUGGCUACGAGCCAGUGCUGUGCCGUAGGGAAGCCGAGAAGCGAGCCGCCUGGGAAGUACGUCCGCAAGGAUGAAACUUAAAGGAAUUGGCGGGGGAGCACGGGGCGGGGGCGGCGGGCCGGGCGCGGGGCGCGGCGGGCG
This 444-nucleotide ribosomal RNA is filed under the name uncultured Halalkalicoccus sp. Its description in RNAcentral is "bacterial SSU rRNA". It matches the Rfam family "Archaeal small subunit ribosomal RNA", at positions 476 to 924 of the family's 1478-position model. Lineage: Archaea; Methanobacteriati; Methanobacteriota; Halobacteria; Halobacteriales; Halalkalicoccaceae. The record is from RNAcentral.